CACACCGUAAACGAUGAAUGCUAGGUGUAGGUGGUAUCGACCCCCUCUGUGCCGUCGCAAACGCAAUAAGCAUUCCGCCUGGGGAGUACGGUCGCAAGAUUAAAACUCAAAGGAAUUGACGGGGGCCCGCACAAGCAGCGGAGCAUGUGGUUUAAUUCGAAGCAACGCGAAGAACCUUACCAGGUCUUGACAUCCAAUUAAAGCUGUAGAGAUACAGUGUGUGCUUGCACAAAUUGAGACAGGUGG
This 246-nucleotide ribosomal RNA is filed under the name uncultured Eubacteriales bacterium. RNAcentral's name for it is "uncultured Clostridiales bacterium partial 16S ribosomal RNA". It matches the Rfam family "Bacterial small subunit ribosomal RNA", at positions 796 to 1041 of the family's 1533-position model. Lineage: Bacteria; Bacillati; Bacillota; Clostridia; Eubacteriales. The record is from RNAcentral.